GAUGAAGAACGUAGCGAAAUGCGAUAAGUAGUGUGAAUUGCAGGAUUCAGUGAAUCAUCGAAUCUUUGAACGCACAUUGCGCCUCUCGGUAUUCCGGGAGGUAUGCCUGUUCGAGCGUCAUUUGUACCCUCAAGCUCUGCUUGGUGUUGGGUGUUUGUUCCGCCUCUGUGUGUGAACUCGCCUCAAAACAAUUGGCAGCCGGCGUACUUGUUUCGGAGCGCAGCACAUUUUGCGAUCCAGAUCAACGUACAGCGGCAUCCAAGAAGCCUUAUUUAACGCUCUUGACCUCGGAUCAGGUAGGGAUACCCGCUGAACUUAAGCAUAUCAAUAAGCGGAGGA
This 339-nucleotide unclassified non-coding RNA is filed under the name soil metagenome. RNAcentral describes it as "partial contains 5.8S ribosomal RNA, internal transcribed spacer 2, and large subunit ribosomal RNA". The stretch from base 1 to 120 matches the Rfam family "5.8S ribosomal RNA", at positions 35 to 154 of the family's 154-position model. The record is from RNAcentral.